Molecule: ribosomal RNA, 689 nt
Filed under: Flavobacterium sp.
Lineage: Bacteria; Pseudomonadati; Bacteroidota; Flavobacteriia; Flavobacteriales; Flavobacteriaceae
Description: bacterial SSU rRNA
Rfam family: Bacterial small subunit ribosomal RNA
Source: RNAcentral
GGUCCGUAGGCGGUUUAAUAAGUCAGUGGUGAAAGCCCAUCGGCUCAACGGUGGAACGGCCAUUGAUACUGUUAAACUUGAAUUAUUAAGAAGUAACUAGAAUAUGUAGUGUAGCGGUGAAAUGCUUAGAUAUUACAUGGAAUACCAAUUGCGAAGGCAGGUUACUACUAAUGGAUUGACGCUGAUGGACGAAAGCGUGGGUAGCGAACAGGAUUAGAUACCCUGGUAGUCCACGCCGUAAACGAUGGAUACUAGCUGUUGGAAGCAAUUUCAGUGGCUAAGCGAAAGUGAUAAGUAUCCCACCUGGGGAGUACGUUCGCAAGAAUGAAACUCAAAGGAAUUGACGGGGGCCCGCACAAGCGGUGGAGCAUGUGGUUUAAUUCGAUGAUACGCGAGGAACCUUACCAAGGCUUAAAUGUAGAUUGACCGGUUUGGAAACAGAUCUUUCGCAAGACAAUUUACAAGGUGCUGCAUGGUUGUCGUCAGCUCGUGCCGUGAGGUGUCAGGUUAAUUCCUAUAACGAGCGCAACCCCUGUUGUUAGUUGCCAGCGAGUCAUGUCGGGAACUCUAACAAGACUGCCAGUGCGAACUGUGAGGAAGGUGGGGAUGACGUCGAAUCAUCACGGCCCUUACGCCUUGGGCUACACACGUGCUACAAUGGCCGGUACAGAGAGCAGCCACUGGGCGAC